RNAcentral lists this long non-coding RNA (201 nucleotides) under Mytilus galloprovincialis (Mediterranean mussel). Lineage: Eukaryota; Metazoa; Mollusca; Bivalvia; Mytilida; Mytilidae. The record is from RNAcentral.
CGCUACUUUAUGAAAAAAUCGCCCCACUCUUGUUUACCGACUCGCAUCACUUUUGAAAACAGUGUAAAAAUCAAACUGAACAAUCACUGACAACUCACUUAUUAACGAAAAGGGUUUAAACCCCACUGAAUGAAGGUCUGCCAACUCGCCCCAUUUAUAAAAAUAUCUUGCUUCCUUUAAGUAUGUUAAAUUACUGAUAGU